GGGGCCGUCACGGUUUCGACUGUAUGGAAAGGGGAAGAUAAAAGCGUGCCGAAGUCGCUCGGGCUUCGUAAAAAACGGGCAAAAACAGUAACUGACAACAAUAGUUACAAUCGCGGUUACGCGUUAGCGGCUUAAUUUACGCCGCUUGUCACACUUGCUAUCCUAUCGGGCAAGAGCGUGGCAUCAUCAAGAUAGGGAACUUUUCCGUCGCUUUGAAGGCGGCGGCGGAAAAGACUCAAGCCGACUGCGGUUUGCGUCUUGCGUCUUACCAUAGCGCAAACUCAAGUUUAAGAUAAGACUGCGCACGGAGAAGGUCUUUCUGUUUUUAUGCAACACGCGAGUUCGACUCUCGCCGGUUCCACCA
RNAcentral lists this transfer-messenger RNA (364 nucleotides) under bovine gut metagenome. It matches the Rfam family "transfer-messenger RNA". From Rfam's summary of the family: Bacterial tmRNA, also known as 10Sa RNA or SsrA, is named for its dual tRNA and mRNA-like properties. Its role is to liberate the mRNA from a stalled ribosome. To accomplish this part of the tmRNA is used as a reading frame that ends in a translation stop signal. The record is from RNAcentral.